AGAAACAUCUGGUGCCACCACAAAACAAUUGAGGUGCUCCUAAAUCAUUUAAAAAUUACAUUACUUUUUUUUUUUAAAUCAACAUUAGUGUGAGAGAAUUGAGACACAAACUGUUUUCAUUACAUGAUACCACAAAAGGAUGGUGAGAAAAUAUAGAUUUUUUGUGAUUUGGGGGAACAGGCUUUAAAUGUUGGGCUACAUACAUUUAUGCUAGGUGGUGUUGCAGGUCUUAUUCUGCAACACCACUUUGUCAGCUGCAUCUUGCUUCACACAGAGGAAGCUCCAGGAAUACACCUGCUGUGCAGGCACUUUCCUCCACUGUCGUCUCCCACAGCUUCUGUUAGUGAAGGCCUUAAUCCUCUAGGACUGGCUAUAAUACUGGAGCAUGAGAACGAUAAUUGCUACGUCAACACCACCAGCAGUACCGCUCGCCCCUCUUACAGUAGAGGGAAAAAAAUUGUCAUCCUCCAAGCAUCCUCCAACCAGCCAUGCUACACUCAACAACAACAACAACAACAACAACAACAUGAGUAAAGCUGCCACCAGUCCAAUUAGACUGUAACAGUGUAAGAUCUGGAACGCCUGACACCCAGCGUCAUUCACACCUUAUUAUAUCACACACAGCAACUAAUGAGAACUCAGCCCGGGUGACGGUGUCCAUGAUGAUGAAGGAGUCACGUUUUCGCCCGCUCUAUCUGCCUCUGAUCUGCAGUGGUCUGCUCUCUGUCCGCCUUGAUCCAUGUGGUGCUUUGUGGCUCCCUGACUGUGGUCAACAGGAAAUGAGGAGGGGUGAAUCACACUGGGAACACUGCAGUGUCCUCACCGUGUGUCUUAAUAAAGCCUUUGUGACAAGAUUUGAUGUGUUUUCUAAGAAGUCUCCACUACUUCAUAUUAAGCCCUGUGGGGGGAGGAGUGACUUCUCAUUAUCAGUCUUCUUUUUGUCUUUUCUUUUUAUAUUUCUUUGCCUGUUGAGUACUAAGUAAUAAGAUUUUUUUUAGUAUUAGAACAAACCGGUACACUGUCACUGCUCUCAUAGCAUCAGACACAGUUAGCGACUUGCUGGUGAACAUAGUGGAGCAUUUAGCAGCUAAAGAGCCGGAUAUUUCCCUCAGGAGUUGGUAAAGACCAAAAACAGAGUGAAUAUUAGACACACAAUUGCCAGAUGGUCAGAAACAUGGCUCCAAAUGUACUAGUUUUGCUCCGUAA
This is a long non-coding RNA of Dicentrarchus labrax (European seabass), 1206 nucleotides long. RefSeq lists it as uncharacterized. NCBI's taxonomy places the organism in Eukaryota, Metazoa, Chordata, Actinopteri, Moronidae. The transcript is spliced from 3 exons. The record is from RefSeq and is a predicted model, not a curated record.